This 46-nucleotide non-coding RNA is filed under the name unclassified sequences. RNAcentral's name for it is "ssnA RNA". It matches the Rfam family "ssnA RNA". The record is from RNAcentral.
AUAUAUCGGCUGUAAGGGAGUGCUUUGCGCGCGGGCUAAGUUAAUA